GUCUCCCCUUUCCCGCUACUCAUUCCAGCCCUAAUCUUCCCAACAAAGAAAUCGACCAGCCAUGAGUAGGCGACGACGAAGAUAGAAGCCAGAAGCUGCGUUCCAGACGGUGGUUUCAGUCGGCGCUUCAAACUGUGAAACCGCUCCUAUGGGUACAAAGGGUUUCAGGUAAUAGGGCGAACUGGAAAUUAAAAGGUAUUAAACGUGAUUCUGACGGAAAUUGAUAAUAUGAUUGGACUGUAGAUCGCCCCUGCUGAUUUAGAGGAUGUUCUAGCAACUCAUCCAGCCAUUCUUGACGCUGCAGUAACAGGUGAUUGGAAGAUCGGGAAGCUUUACAAAUAAGACAAUUUGCAUCAUCUAGUUGAGACUUAUAAGCUUCAAAAAGUUCAGGCGGAACUAGAAAGAGAACGUGAGGCCUGACAAAAAUAGAAGCUCGUUUCGAACUAUUUCAACAAGAGCGUGAAAAAGAGUGGGCCGACCAAGACGCAUGGCGAAAAAAUAUGGAAGAAAUGGUGAAAAACAUCGGAAAGAAGUAAACAAAGCUCUCGUUUUGUUAAGUAUUGGAAUGUUGGAUUAGUUUUGAAUCAAAAAACUUGCUCUUAAUUUGGAUUUUUUGUUUGUUUUGGAAUGUUUUAGAAUCUUGCUUGUUGCAAAUGUU
RNAcentral lists this long non-coding RNA (658 nucleotides) under Helianthus annuus (common sunflower). RNAcentral's name for it is "hypothetical non coding rna". The record is from RNAcentral. Lineage: Eukaryota; Viridiplantae; Streptophyta; Magnoliopsida; Asterales; Asteraceae.